RNAcentral lists this ribosomal RNA (617 nucleotides) under Pichia manshurica. RNAcentral's name for it is "eukaryotic LSU rRNA". It matches the Rfam family "Eukaryotic large subunit ribosomal RNA", at positions 27 to 670 of the family's 3401-position model. Lineage: Eukaryota; Fungi; Ascomycota; Pichiomycetes; Pichiales; Pichiaceae. The record is from RNAcentral.
GCUGAACUUAAGCAUAUCAAUAAGCGGAGGAAAAGAAACCAACAGGGAUUGCCCCAGUAGCGGCGAGUGAAGCGGCAAGAGCUCAGAUUUGAAAUCGUGUUUCGGCACGAGUUGUAGAGUGUAGGCGGGAGUCUCUGUGGAGCGCGGUGUCCAAGUCCCUUGGAACAGGGUGCCUGAGAGGGUGAGAGCCCCGUAGGGUGCUGCGCGAAGCUUUUGAGGCCCUGCUGACGAGUCGAGUUGUUUGGGAAUGCAGCUCCAAGCGGGUGGUAAAUUCCAUCUAAGGCUAAAUAUUGGCGAGAGACCGAUAGCGAACAAGUACUGUGAAGGAAAGAUGAAAAGCACUUUGAAAAGAGAGUGAAACAGCACGUGAAAUUGUUGAAAGGGAAGGGUAUUGGGCUCGACAUGGGGGGUGCGCACCGCUGUCUCUUGUAGGCGGCGCUCUGGGCGCCCUCUGGGCCAGCAUCGGUUCCUGCUGCGGGAGAAGGGGCUCCGGAAAGUGGCUCUUCGGAGUGUUAUAGCCGGGGCCAGAUGCCGCGUGUGGGGACCGAGGACUGCGGCUUCUGUCUCGGAUGCUGGCAUAACGGCGCAAUACCGCCCGUCUUGAAACAUGGACCAAG